RNAcentral lists this unclassified non-coding RNA (632 nucleotides) under Hevea brasiliensis (rubber tree). The record is from RNAcentral. Lineage: Eukaryota; Viridiplantae; Streptophyta; Magnoliopsida; Malpighiales; Euphorbiaceae.
UGAAUAUGCGAAUGGGUUUCUUCGUGCUUAGCCGACGUUUCCUUGCCGAUGCCUCGCCGGUCGUUUCGCGCCGGCUCCGACCGGGUGACGCGAUAACCCAGAUCGGAGAUCUGAUUGCGGAUUUUGACGUCGUCCACACCGCCAUCGUCAUGNACGGUGCCGCCGGGCACGGAGACGACCACGUCGGUGACACCUGGCAUCCGCCGGAGAGCAUUUUCGAUCUUCGUGGCGCAAGAAGCGCAGUCCAUUCCUUCGACGCGGAAGCGAAGCUUCGCAGGCUGAACGGUAUCACUCAUGAUCGCUUCCUUCGGUGCAAUACUACGGCUCAAAUCACGUUUCAAAUCUCACGUCUUGCCCUCCAGGCGUAGCCGCUUGUAGAGCGCCGCUACGGCGUCCGAAAAAUCCAUCGAGCUAUUGCGCGCGCAAUGAUCUUCCAGGAAGUGGAGUUGCUUGAUGAGGUCGAAUGUUGCUGGAGCGAGGUCGAGGCCCUCAUCGACACCCGGCGGCCUGCUCGAUAUGAUUCCGCUCAUGAACCCCUGCGCCCAAGCCAGAUAGUCGCGUCGAAGCGCAGGAUUGGCUUUGACGUCAUCGGUGAACCGCUGGCAGGUCGUGGCGCCCAGGCCGACGAUUCG